GUGCUUACUUUGGCAGCACAUGUAUAACAAUUGGAACAAUACAAAGAUUAACAUGGCUCCUGUGCAAAGAUGACAGGAAUAUUUGUGAAGUAUUCCAUAAUUUU
Echinops telfairi (small Madagascar hedgehog) is the source of this 104-nucleotide small nuclear RNA. The record is from RefSeq and is a predicted model, not a curated record. Lineage: Eukaryota; Metazoa; Chordata; Mammalia; Afrosoricida; Tenrecidae.